Molecule: long non-coding RNA, 127 nt
Organism: Etheostoma cragini (Arkansas darter)
Lineage: Eukaryota; Metazoa; Chordata; Actinopteri; Perciformes; Percidae
Exons: 3
Source: RefSeq, a predicted model, not a curated record
GUUUAUUUUACCAAUACCUCCAAUGUUCCCCAACAUUUAAACAUAGCAGUCUCCAGGAUAAUGUAACAUGACAGUUUAUGCCAUAACAGUUUAGGUUAUGGCCCUUUUGUAAAAAUAGAAAUGCCUA